GACGAACGCUGGCGGCGUGCUUAACACAUGCAAGUCGAGCGGUAAGGCCCUUUCGGGGGUACACGAGCGGCGAACGGGUGAGUAACACGUGGGUGACCUGCCCUCAGCUCUGGGAUAAGCCUGGGAAACCGGGUCUAAUACUGGAUAUGACUCCAUGACGCAUGUUGUGGGGUGGAAAGCCUUGUGCGGCUGAGGAUGGGCCCGCGGCCUAUCAGCUUGUUGGUGGGGUGAGGCCUACCAAGGCGACGACGGGUAGCCGGCCUGAGAGGGCGACCGGCCACACUGGGACUGAGACACGGCCCAGACUCCUACGGGAGGCAGCAGUGGGGAAUCUUGCGCAAUGGGCGAAAGCCUGACGCAGCGACGCCGCGUGAGGGAU
This 379-nucleotide ribosomal RNA is filed under the name uncultured bacterium. RNAcentral describes it as "bacterial SSU rRNA". It matches the Rfam family "Bacterial small subunit ribosomal RNA", at positions 28 to 409 of the family's 1533-position model. The record is from RNAcentral.